CUGGCUCAGGAUGAACGCUGCGGCGUGCUUAACACAUUCAAGUCGAACGGACCUAAGCAAUUAGGUAGCGGCGGACGGUGAGUAACGCGUGAGCAACCUGACCUCUAUGAGAGGAAUAACAGUUGGAAACGACUGCUAAUACCACAUAAUGUAUGGAUACCGCAUGAUAACCAUACCAAAGAGCAAUCGCAUAGAGAUGGGCUCGCGUCCCAUUAGACAGUUGGUGAGGUAACGGCCCACCAAAUCUACGAUGGGUAGCCGGACUGAGAGGUUGAACGGCCACAUUGGAACUGAGAAACGGUCCAGACUCCUACGGGAGGCAGCAGUGGGGAAUAUUGGGCAAUGGGCGAAAGCCUGACCCAGCGACGCCGCGUGAGGGAAGAAGGUCUUCGGAUUGUAAACCUUAGUCAACAGGGAAGAAGAAAGUGACGGUACCUGUAGAGGAAGCCACGGCUAACUACGUGCCAGCAGCUGC
RNAcentral lists this ribosomal RNA (475 nucleotides) under uncultured bacterium. RNAcentral's name for it is "bacterial SSU rRNA". It matches the Rfam family "Bacterial small subunit ribosomal RNA", at positions 19 to 518 of the family's 1533-position model. The record is from RNAcentral.